This 265-nucleotide ribosomal RNA is filed under the name uncultured bacterium. RNAcentral's name for it is "partial 16S ribosomal RNA". It matches the Rfam family "Bacterial small subunit ribosomal RNA", at positions 793 to 1055 of the family's 1533-position model. The record is from RNAcentral.
GUCCCGACGGUAAACGAUGGGCACUAGGUGUCGGAGGUAUCGACCCCUCCGGUGCCGCAGUUAACACAUUAAGUGCCCCGCCUGGGGAGUACGACCGCAAGGUUGAAACUCAAAGGAAUUGACGGGGGCCCGCACAAGCGGUGGAGUAUGUGGUUUAAUUCGACGCAACGCGAAGAACCUUACCUGGGCUUGACAUGUAACGGACGUGGUUAGAGAUAACCACUCGUCUUCGGACGUCGUUGCACAGGUGCUGCAUGGCUGUCGU